GAACUGCCCAGUCGAGGGGGAUAACAGUUGGAAACGACUGCUAAUACCGCAUACGCCCUACGGGGGAAAAGAGGGGACCUUCGGGCCUUCUGCGAUUGGAUGUACCUAGGUGGGAUUAGCUAGUAGGUGAGGUAAUGGCUCACCUAGGCGACGAUCCCUAGCUGUUCUGAGAGGAUGAUCAGCCACACUGGGACUGAGACACGGCCCAGACUCCUACGGGAGGCAGCAGUGGGGAAUAUUGCACAAUGGGCGCAAGCCUGAUGCAGCCAUGCCGCGUGUGUGAAGAAGGCCUUCGGGUUGUAAAGCACUUUCAGCGAGGAGGAAAGGUUAAGUGUUAAUAGCACUUAGCUGUGACGUUACUCGCAGAAGAAGCACCGGCUAACUUCGUGCCAGCAGCCGCGGUAAUACGAGGGGUGCAAGCGUUAAUCGGAAUUACUGGGCGUAAAGCGUACGCAGGCGGUUUGUUAAGCG
Molecule: ribosomal RNA, 471 nt
Filed under: Shewanella marisflavi
Lineage: Bacteria; Pseudomonadati; Pseudomonadota; Gammaproteobacteria; Alteromonadales; Shewanellaceae
Description: bacterial SSU rRNA
Rfam family: Bacterial small subunit ribosomal RNA
Source: RNAcentral